Molecule: ribosomal RNA, 254 nt
Filed under: uncultured bacterium
Lineage: Bacteria
Description: partial 16S ribosomal RNA
Rfam family: Bacterial small subunit ribosomal RNA
Source: RNAcentral
UACGUAGGGUGCGAGCGUUAAUCGGAAUUACUGGGCGUAAAGCGUGCGCAGGCGGUUUGGUAAGACAGAUGUGAAAUCCCCGGGCUUAACCUGGGAAUUGCAUUUGUGACUGCUCGGCUAGAGUGUGUCAGAGGGGGGUAGAAUUCCACGUGUAGCAGUGAAAUGCGUAGAUAUGUGGAGGAAUACCGAUGGCGAAGGCAGCCCCCUGGGAUAACACUGACGACUGAGGCACGGAAAGCGUGGGGAGCCAACAG